AAAAUUUAUAGGAUCCUUCAUUAUUUUGAUUAUUUUGAUGAUACGUCAGUUAUUCUGGAUGAAAUAUGCUCUACACGCUCAGCUGAAACAUUAAAUCAACUACAACCUGCAGGAGCAAACCCAACCCUCCCCGCAGCACCAUCAUAGACCACCUCCAUAGUCUUUUGCUGCACAUUCCCAUAAAUGAGCACGUCGGUUCGGUCACUAUUUCCGGCAAAGGCCAAGCACACUUGUGACACCUUAUUCGCAUAUAGAAUCCCCGACGCAUCAAUAUCCACCUCAACUCCGCCAUUGAAGAAAAAGCCAAUCUUUGGCGCACUAAUCGUACUGUAGUUGCUAAAAUCGUAGCAAGUGUCAAGU
RNAcentral lists this unclassified non-coding RNA (360 nucleotides) under Hevea brasiliensis (rubber tree). The record is from RNAcentral. Lineage: Eukaryota; Viridiplantae; Streptophyta; Magnoliopsida; Malpighiales; Euphorbiaceae.